AAUCUGUCAUGAACGUCUGUUUUCACAGACCAAUCUGUUGUCUGGGGUAUCACCUGUUACUCCCCCUUUUUGUCACAAAUGUUGCCAAAGCCAACAACAUAAACAGAAAAAAAUGACAGACUUACAGACUUGGUUUUACUUCACAGUUUCAACCAUGUUAGUACCCACUUGAUCUUGCUUCACAGCUUUGAUCAAGUAAUCACCCACUUUUGC
Molecule: long non-coding RNA, 213 nt
Filed under: Lathyrus oleraceus (garden pea)
Lineage: Eukaryota; Viridiplantae; Streptophyta; Magnoliopsida; Fabales; Fabaceae
Description: Pisum sativum (pea) long non-coding RNA (PSAT_LNC025558)
Source: RNAcentral